This 253-nucleotide ribosomal RNA is filed under the name uncultured bacterium. RNAcentral's name for it is "partial 16S ribosomal RNA". It matches the Rfam family "Bacterial small subunit ribosomal RNA", at positions 524 to 776 of the family's 1533-position model. The record is from RNAcentral.
UACGUAGGGUGCAAGCGUUGUCCGGAAUUAUUGGGCGUAAAGAGCUCGUAGGCGGUUUGUCGCGUCGGCUGUGAAAUCCCGAGGCUCAACCUCGGGCCUGCAGUCGAUACGGGCAAACUAGAGUGUGGUAGGGGAGACUGGAAUUCCUGGUGUAGCGGUGAAAUGCGCAGAUAUCAGGAGGAACACCGAUGGCGAAGGCGGCUUCCUGGCCUGUAACUGACGCUGAGACGCGAAAGCGUGGGGAGCGAACCGG